Molecule: long non-coding RNA, 419 nt
Organism: Carassius auratus (goldfish)
Lineage: Eukaryota; Metazoa; Chordata; Actinopteri; Cypriniformes; Cyprinidae
Exons: 3
Source: RefSeq, a predicted model, not a curated record
UGCAACAGAGGGGCGCUUACAUGCAUCUUGUACAUGGCACAGAACAUGAACAGCACACGAGGAAGACAACAGCGGUGAUUUUAACAUUUAUUGGUGACAGAUGGCGAAUAUAGUUUUAAAAAAAUAGCAUUUUGUCCUGUAGGCAGUGGUUGUGACAACUGUCUCGUCUGUGUACUGUCAGAAGUAUUCAAGGAACGUCGUGACAGGACAUAGUUUCACUUUUUAAGCAUGAGAUUUUCUGCUGCUUGGUUCAGCAAUCGAUCUACAAGUGUGAAAGCACCCUCAGAUGAAGACAGAUUAAUACAUGAACUCCAUAUGGAAGCGUGCAAGAAUCAGAAAAGAACAUGCAUUGAACCUAUAACCAGCAACAGUGUGUUUACUGAGACAUAGAAAAAGAGGAAAAUGCUGUGGGAUUGCCU